Molecule: long non-coding RNA, 731 nt
Organism: Pistacia vera
Lineage: Eukaryota; Viridiplantae; Streptophyta; Magnoliopsida; Sapindales; Anacardiaceae
Exons: 3
Source: RefSeq, a predicted model, not a curated record
UACUCAAGAUGGGUUGGGCAGAAAUGCUCCUGUACAUAGCAUACAUGGUUCUUUACUUGCAGUUGGGGAGCUCUUGAGGAAUACUGGUGAGCUCAUGAUGUCAUGGUAUAGAGAAGUUGCUGAAAUUGUACUCUGGUACUUAUAGCACCGGGAUCAGCUUGUUCGCCUUAGUAUAACUUCCCUGCUACCUCGAUUGCUCAUUUCUUGUGCGACCAAUUUGUUACAAACUAUUUAAAGAUAUGCAUGAAUCACAUUCUCACAGUUCUACGAGUUCCAGCUGAACAUGACAUUGGAUUCAUUGCUCUUGGGGAGAUGGCUAGUGCUUUGGGAGGGGAACUCAUCCACUAUUUGCCAACAAUUACAUCUCACUUACGUGAAGCAGUAAGACGUAAAGGAUUUUGGCUGAAAUAAGUCUUGUGCCAUCAAUUUAGUUCUCUUUUGUUUCAUUUUCCUUGUCACUACAAUUUCUUUGAGUUAUGCUGUUUUCAUUUGAUAGGCAACAAGACUUCUAAUCAAUGGCAUAUUUAUGAUAUCUAGAUUUCUCCACGCAGAGGCAACCCCUGCUUGAGGCUUUGGCUUGUGUUGGAAAUAUUACAAAAGCAGUGGGUCUUGUAAUGGAAGUUCCUCUUGUGGAUGGUCUCUUGGAUGUAAGUCUUUCCAGUAUGCUUGUUGAUGCCCUUGAACAAAUUACUGUCAAGUACACUGAGGCAUUCUAGUAUAUUUUCUUUACA